GGGGGCUCGCAGUCUUGAUUCCCUCUUUGAUUUUCUUGGACUGCCUAGAACCAGGCAGCUUGCCUGAUUUCAUUCCACUGGCUAUAGGAAUCCAGAGGGCUCUGGGGACCCCAGAGUGAUAAACGCUGGCCCCCUCCUUGCCAUCCUUACCUUGCCUCGUGGUGCCAUCUUGAGCACAGCUGAAAGGGAGCCUGGACGUCUGGCUGGGACUCUCAGGGGUCCAGGCUACCGGGCUCCCUCCCAGUUCACUCUGCAGCCAGCCUAGUCUUGGUCUUGGCUGCUUUUGCCCUCUGGACGGGAGCCUGGAACCCUGACCUCAUACAGUCCCCUGGGCUUCUCAGCCGGCCAGGUUCCAAGCCAGUUGAAUCCACCCACAGCCAGAGGACCCUGAGCCGAGACAGCUGGGGAUGGGGUAGAGGUGACUAGUUGGACAGAGCAAAGGAAGGAGAGUGUGUGGGACUUUCCAUGCCAGCCCUGCCCUCGGGGGGUGGGGGCAGGGUUAUGUGGGGAGGUGUGCUAAGCCAGCUUUGACCCAGAAAGGGGAGGGGCUGUGGCUCUCAGGGACCAGGGAAGGGGAACAAGAGGGGCUGUGUCUAACCACCUCAGGACCCCAGUGCUCAGAGAGGGCAAGCAGUGGGCCAAGGUCACACAGAAGCCAGUGGCAGCGCUUCCGGUCUAGCGUCCUUUCCCUGCCUGGAUGCUACUCUGAGCUCGACUGCGUGAGCCCAGGCUGCUCUAGGGCUGCUGGGACCCGAGCUCUGGGCUCCUGGAGGAAGGAGGCUCCAGGAUCAAACUGGAAGCUUGAGCUGUUUCCCGGCACAGGUGGCCCCACUGGAGUCUAGAGUCGUAGGGGGUGCUCACUGGCUCUGUGACCUUGGGCGAGCCACUUGAGAUAAUAGUAGGUUCGCUGUGAUUUUUCAGCGGAGAUAAUCUAUGCAAAAGUACAGGAGCGCUGACUGCUGUCGUGAUUGUUAUCAUUGAUUUGUUUGGAGCUUAAAGGUGGAAACCCAGGGCCAAGGUUUGAGAUGGGCUGGCUGCUCAGCUUGGACCAGACCCCUGUGUCAGGCAGAAUCUUAUCUUCUGCUGCCUGAAAUGGGAGCAGUGUCCCCUGCUCUGCUCUAAGUCCCUAUAACAAUCAGUGGAGGUAGGAGUUCCUGCUGUGGUGCCACAGAUGGGCGGCAUCUCUGGAGUCCUGGGACACAGGUUCGAUCCCCAGCCUGGCACAGUGGGUUAAGGAUCCAGCGUUGCCACAGUUGUGGCGUGGGUCGCAACUGUGGCUCAGACCUGAUCACGGGCCUGGGAACUCCAUAUGCCCUGGGGUGGCCAAAAAAGAAAAAACAAACAACCAACAUUAGUGGAGGUGAAUAGACCGAAGCUUCUUGCAGACUCUGAGGGUCACUGUGUUUGAGAGUCUGGGUCAGUUUCACUCGUGGCCACAGCGGAAGUUCUCUGGGGUCGGCAGCUUCUAGAGGGGACCAUGCUGGCAGCCUGGAUGGCCUCCCUUGGGGUGCAGCAUCACUGCCUCACUGGAGCGGGGCUUCUGGGGGCUGGGCUGAGCAGAAGCCGGAAGGCGUAAAGGACACGGCUCCGUGACUCACUGCAUAUGUUUGGGCACCGCUGUGGCUGCUGCCUGGGCCUGGCUUCGAGCUCUGGGGGCCUCUAUGGGCCAACAGUUCCUCUGGGGCCUUUCUCCCUGCCCUGGGGUGGGCCAGCUUCCAGGGGGCAGCAGGGGAGCUCCGCCUUGGCUAUUGUUAUUAUAAAGGAUUCUGGAGUCAAAAUAGGAGACUUGGGUGGACCUAGGGGUCCCAGGAGAGCUGUAUGAAAAUGCCCUUUUUUGGGGGUUCACUCUAGUUGUUGCUGUCAUUUUCUGAGCACUUGGCAUGUGCCAAGCAGUGUGCCAGGCGUGCUUCAGAGAGUAUCUUGUUGGAUACUUACUCCAACCCCGCGAGCAUCUGUUCUGAUUUUAUAGGGAACGAGACCAAAGGGGCUGAGUAAAUGCCUGGCUUUAAACAGCCACACUUGAACCCAAUCUCUGAGCUUGAUUGGGUCUCCUCUGUGGGCACCCACCCCACCUCUGUGCUGUGUGUGCGCGCGUGUGCAUGCGUUCUCUGCGCUACUGGAGCAGGCAGGACCAGCGCGGGCCUCCUACUCCCCCUGCAUAGCUGACAUUCCCUGCUCCCUGAUGGCAUGGCAGGUGACCCCGGGCCAGCCAGAUCCAGCCUUAUAUGGCAAUGGGACAAAUUCUCUCUGGCUUCCCACAAGGUCAGCGGGAAGCAGUGGGGCUGGGUGGGCGCCUCUCAAAGUGCCUUUAGCCUUGGGAUGGAGCAGGAGCCUGGAGGAUGCAGGGCACUGUGGCUUUUGCAGUGGCCAGAGGCCAGGGUCUUGAGCAAAAUGACGUGCGUGGUGCCUUUGCUCUGGGUUCAGCGCUUGACAUGCUUCGUCGCACUGACUUCUCUCAGUGGAAUGCUCGGUACACGGAUACGCAGCAAGAAUCUGUAAACACCCCAGGACGCAGGGAUUAUGAGGCCUCCCAUUUUAGAGAUGAGGAAACAGAGGCUCAGCCAGGUGAAGUCACACAGCCAGGAAGUGGCAGAGCCGGGAUUCUGUCUCCAGUCACUGCCCACAGCCUGCCCUGGCCCCUGCCCACCAGGUGGCCGUGGCCUCUCUGUGACACAGGCCUCUCUUGCUUAUGUGGAUAAGGAUCUCUGGCUACUGUCCCGCCCUCUCAGCCCUCCUGGGUCGAAUGAAGGGCACUCAGCAUUCCCUGUCGCAUUUUGGCGCCUUAUUUAUUUCACAACCCAUGUGCCAUCUGUGCUGGGAAGACGUGGGCGCAGCAGACUGGGUAUCCUUGCCCAGAGCUGGGGGAAGGGUACUUGUCCCCGGUCCCUCCCCCAGAAGCGGGGGACCCCUGAGACCUGACCCGGGCACUUCUCAGGUGUGUCUCUUUUCCUGUGUACUGGCAGUGCCGCCCUGUCUCUGCCCAGGUGUCCAAGGACCAGAGGGUCCAGGCUCACCAGGAGGACUUCGGGGGACGAUAGGGACAAAGAAAACUGUGGCUGGGUCUUCUGUACCCUUCCUGUGCUCAGUGUGGCUUGAGUUUGGGCCAUGCAAACACAUGGUGAUAAUUGCUACCCCUUAGGGAAGCAUCCCAGGAGCCAGAUUCUUUCUGCAGUUAGCUCAUUGACUCUUUAUAUCAACCCAAUGAGGAGGUUCUGUCAUUAGGCUUCCAAUUUACAGAGGAGGAAACAGAGGCCCAGAGGGGUCAAGCAAGUUGUCCAGGGCCACGGAGCAAGUAGUUGCUGGAGCUGGGAUUUGAACCCAGGCAGGCCAACUCAACCUUCCUGCCCCAUCCCUCUCUGCCUUCGGGCCCUGUACUUGGAGGAAAGAUGAUUUCCUCAAAACCUUGCCCUCUGGGGCCUCUGUUUCCCCAGCUGUUGAACCAAGAGGACAGGCUGGAUGCUCUGAGGCGUCCCUUCUGGGUUCUGAGACGGGGUGGGUGUCAUAACAGCUCUGCCACCACCCCAGGCCUGGCCCUGGGGACACUGGCUUGAGGAGUGACCCGCCUGGCUCACAGCUUCCUGUUUUUGAGCCUGGGCUCCUCCCUGCUUGCUUUUUCUGGCUCUUUGCCAGGGACUGACCAGGCCACCAAGGCCUCUAGCCUUGCCCCUCUGCUCGUCACUGGUCACUCUCAGAGCCCAGGGGUCCCCGUAUCGCUCAUAGCCAGAGGCCCUGACAGCAGUUUCUACAGCACGACAAAUGUGCCUUUGGGGACAGUGGGCUGGAGUUGUGGGGGGACUAGUGUAAACCAUCCAUGCACACCCCACCCCCUUAGGGGGCUAGAGAGUGGUUCCCAGGCCUCUGGAAUAACCCUCUGCAGCUGCCCAAGAAGAAAGAUAACUCCCAGUAUUGACUUUCUUUGCCCAGAAACCUGUGGCCGGGCCUUGUUUGUGGGCAGGGAGGGAGCUGGGAUGGUGAAGGGAGCUAGGCCUUGAAUUGUUAAAAUGCUGCGCUCUUCAGGAAGUUGAGCCACCUGUCUGGGCCUCGGUUGUCCCAUCUGUCAAAUGGGGAUCCCCAGAAAGGGGAAAGAGGAAUCAGGAAACUGGGGGAAGGGCUUUCCUUCCUAAUCUGUUCAAUAGUCAAUGGCAUCUGAAGGAUGAGCUCUGGGGGUUAUAAGUGGAUUGGACAUAUGUAAACAUUAGACAAUAAUAGUAAUAAAUAGCUAACAUUUAUUUAACAUUUACUGCAUGCCAGGCCCUGCAUUUAGCACUUUACACGCAUACUUACUUACAUGGUAUAAUUCUCAGGACAGGCCUAUGAGGUAGAUGUUUUGAUCCUUCCUACAGAUGCGGAAACUGAGACACAGACAGAUGAGGUCAUUUUUGCACAGCCCUCGGUGUGUUCAAACCUCCGCAUUCUGGCUCCAGCUUGCCCUCUUCUUUUGUUUUUUCUUCCAAACAUCUGGUGUGACCUCUAGCUCCAUCCCCUCUGCCUGGGGGUGCACAUUUAGGGCAGCCUUGAGUACUGGAGCCUGGACAGACAAGGUACCUGCCCAGUGGGCGUGGCUGUGCUGCAGUGGGCAUGGCUGGGCAAGGAUAUGGGGGAUGGACGCCCGGAGGGAAGAAGCUGUGGGCUGUGCUCGAGCAGGAGCAGGAACCGAGAAUCCAAAGCUCGGAGGUGGGUUGGGAGCUGGCAGCUGAGAAGGGAGCUCCUGUUCCUGCCACCCGGCUGCCAAAGGUGUGGUCCACCCAGCUGCCCCAAGCCUGGAGUCAGCAAGGGCUGGCGACCCACGCAUGAGCGGAUCAGCUGCUUCUCCCACCCCUGGUCACUCUGUGGCUCAAGCAUUUGUCACUUUUGGCUCUAAGGAAAAAUGCGAUUCCAAGCUGAGUCCUCUCCAGCCUCAGUCACACGCAUACACAGAUGCCUUUGCAAAGCUGCCUUUCCAUGUCAGGGGAAGAGUGGAGAAAGCGACGGGGGCUGAGUGGCAGUCUUCUCUGUUUACUCAAUGUUUAUCGAGCACCUACUAGAUGCUGAGCACUUCUGGGUGCUAGGCAUUCAUGGGGCAGAGACAGUAAACACAUCCUCCUAGAACCUGUGACCAAGGACCUGCAUCCUCCCAGCAUCCUUCCAAAACCCACUUCCUUGGGUCACUCCUACUCCUGGCUGUGUGCACAGAGGGAACUCCAGCAGCCUGUGCCAUGGAGUUUAACCCCAGCUCGGCCACUUGCUAGCUGUGCUGCCUUGAUGAGUCAGUUGUUUAUCCUGAGUCUCAAUUCAUUGACCUUUUUUUUUUUUUUUGCUUUUUAGGGUUGCACCCGCGGCAUAUGGAGGUUCCCAGGCUCGGGGUCUAAUCAGAGCUGUAGCUGCCCACCUACACCACAGCCACAGCAACGCAGGACCCGAGCCUGUGUCUGUGACCUACCCCCCAGCUCACGACAAUGCUGGAUCCUUAAUCCACUCAAGCGAAGCCAGGGAUCGAACCCGAAACCUCAUGGUUCCUAGUUGGAUUCAUUUCCGCUGUGUCGCGACAGGAGCUCCGAGCAAAUAUUUAUUGAGUACCUACUACGUGGAACCUACCAGGGGGAGACCGGUAAUGGACAACACCCUCAAUAAGCAAUUACAGGCUGCCGUGUGGAUUUGAUCCCUGGCCACAGGCGUGGUCAAAAUAAUAAUAAUAAUUAGCAGUUACAUCAUCGAUUGUGUUAGGAAAGGGCUCACCCCUUGAAAUAUAAGGUGUUAUUUUAAGGUGGAUCGGAAGUGGAGGCAGGGACUCCGGUGGGCAGAGUGGACAGAGUGGCCUCGCUGGGAGGGUGACAGUUGAGUAAAGACUUGAAGGACGGGACACGCAGAUAUGUGCGCCCCAGGUGGGGACACAGCUGGAGCCACAGUCCCAAGUUGAGAGUAUGUCUGGCAUGGGAGGGGCAGAGAAGGGAGGCCAGGGUUGCUGAGGCACCCUCCCCAGGGGCGAGGGGUGGGGAGCCGGGGGACACACGUGAAAUAGCGUGUUAGAUGGUGAUCAGUGCCUGGCCCAAGGUCAGGUCCACGGAGGGGUGUGGUUAUUAAGCUCUCUACCCAUCCAGGCUGAGCUCUUAUCUGUGUUUGUCUGUGUCUGCUUUGCCUCCAAGACCAGGGAGCCGUCCUACCCUUGAACCCCAUCUGCCCGGAUCCCUAGAGGUGGUCAGUGUAUAAUUACAGACAGGUUCCCGUGCAGGAUUUCUGGGCAGGGGCAUUAGGACGGCUUCCAGGUUUCUGCCCAGAAGUUCCCAGAUGCUGGGCUUUGCCUGUGCUCUUCUGCCUCCCUAGAAAGGUUUUCC
RNAcentral lists this long non-coding RNA (6311 nucleotides) under Sus scrofa (pig). Its description in RNAcentral is "lncRNA (ENSSSCG00005000929.1)". Lineage: Eukaryota; Metazoa; Chordata; Mammalia; Artiodactyla; Suidae. The record is from RNAcentral.